UAACCGCGGUCGAUACCGGGCGCCGGGAAAUGUGGUGUUAGGGAGGGUCCAUUAUCCCGAGAUCAUGCGGCGCGUCCAAGUCCUUCUUGAACGGGGCCACAGCCCAUAGAGGGUGCCAGGCCCGUAGUGACCGCUGCUGAUCGCGGGAGGAUCUCUCCUCAGAGUCGGGUUGCUUGAGAGUGCAGCCCUAAGUGGGUGGUAAACUCCAUCUAAGGCUAAAUAUGACCACGAGACCGAUAGCGAACAAGUACCGUGAGGGAAAGUUGAAAAGCACUUUGAAGAGAGAGUUCAAGAGUACGUGAAACCGUUUAGGGGUAAACCUGAGAAACCCGAAAGGUCGAAGGGAGAAAUUCAUCGUGUUUCGAUGUUGGCGUGAGGCGGUCGUGUGACGGAGAAGGUUCGCCCGAUCCGCGCCUUCCGCUUCGUCGAUCCGACGUCGAACGCGUGCACUUUUCUCCUGGUAGGACGUCGCGAUCCGUUGGGUGUCGAUCUACGGCCCGAGGUGGAGUCCGCGCGGUUUUUGCCGUGCGAACCCUCGGUGUCCUGGCCGACUCGCUCGACGGUAUGCGAACGGUCGAGGGCCGCUUUUAAAGCGUUCGGCUCAUUGCAAGCGCGCCGGAAGCGUCGGAUACCGGACCUAGUGCCGAUACCGAUCUCCGGUGGCUGUUGGCGAUGAAGUUCUCGAACAGACCCUCAUGACCGAUCAGCGACGCUAUAGCUUUGGGUACUUUCAGGACCCGUCUUGAAACACGGACCAAGGAGUCUAGCAUGUGCGCGAGUCAUUGGGAAUCACUAAACCUAAAGGCGCAAUGAAAGUAAAGGUCCGUCUUGCACGGACCGAGGGAAGAUGGGCGGUUUGCCCUUAAAAGCGGCCGCCCCGCAUUCCCGGGGCGUCUCGUUCUCAUUGCGAGAAGAGGCGCACCAAGAGCGUACACGCUGGGACCCGAAAGAUGGUGAACUAUGCCUGUC
This 969-nucleotide ribosomal RNA is filed under the name Rhopalapion longirostre. RNAcentral's name for it is "eukaryotic LSU rRNA". It matches the Rfam family "Eukaryotic large subunit ribosomal RNA", at positions 117 to 841 of the family's 3401-position model. The record is from RNAcentral. Lineage: Eukaryota; Metazoa; Arthropoda; Insecta; Coleoptera; Brentidae.